CUGUCAGCACAGAGCCCGUCUCGGGGCUUGAACCCAAGAACCGUGAGAUCAUGACCUGAGCUGAAAUCAAGACCCGGAUGCUUACCCGACAGAGCCACCCAGGUGUCCCAAAACUCAUAAUUAUUUUUCCACAUGUUGCUUCGCCAUGCUACUGAGGGUAUUUACAUGUAUCACAUCUGUGUGCUGGAAAUACUGUUACAUGUGCUGCUACCAAUUCAGCGUUCAGCGACACCACUGUCUGUGGGCCCGGCGUCUUGGUGUGACCCAGCUGGUCCUGUGGUUCAGGGUGUCUCACAAGUUUGCAGUCAAGGUAUGAGGUGGGUCUGUAAUCUUCUCAGGGCCCAACAGUGGGGGUUGGGAGGGGGGUUCUGCUCCAGGAUCAUUCCUAUGGCUGCUGGCAGGAUUCAAUCCCUUGAUGGCUGUCGGACCAGGAGCCUCCGCUUCUCCCUGAUUAUAGGCUGGUAGCCCUCUUCGGUGUUUUACCCAUGUGAGUACGUGCCCGCCUCCAACACGGCGACUGACUUCCAUCCAAGGGUGUAAGAGAGGGCCAGCGGGGCAGAAGUGACAGUCUUUUGUAACCUAAUCUCAGAUGUGACAUCCCAUCACACUUACCGUAUUCUGUUACUUAAAAGGGACUCCGUAGGUCCUGUCCACACUCCAGGGGAGAGGGUCAGGCAGGAGCCUGAACAGAGGAGAUGGGAACCGGGGGAGCCGAUGUAGAGCCCCUCCCCCCUUGAUAAGUGUUAGAGCGAUUUGAUUAUAAGCCCUGGGGAGGGCAAGACUCAGGGCUCAAGGGUAACGCCCCCUUCGUUUAUAUAGUUGUGCCGUUACAGAACCUGGGGCCUAGGCAGUGUCUCCUUCUUGUGUUUAGAGAUUUCCUUCUUGGCCUACGUGUGUUAUCAUUCUUUGUUACUGUUCCUCGAAAACCCCUGUGAUUAAUCAUGUUAUCAGCAUCUACUCUGCAUAGGAUGCCAUAUGAUGAAAAGGGCCCUUCACCUCUGGGUUUUCCUCUCCAAACCCACCACCCUCGUCCACCUGUGAGAAGAGCAUCAGGCAGGUCCCAACUGAUGGAGAUUCUCUGAAAUUCCUGACCAGUUCCCCUCAGGACUGUCAAGGUCAUCACAAACAAGGAAAGUCUGAGAAGGUGUCCCAGCCCAGAGGAGACUAAGGAAAUGAGACUAAGUGACCAUGUGUGACCCUGGAUGGCCUCCUGGGACCCAAAAGGACAUCAGGGAAAAUUUGAAAGAAUCUGAAUGUCAUCGAGUUGGAAUCAUACCGUGUGUAGCCUUUUCAGACUGGCUUCUCUCGCUUAGCGACAUGCAUUUGAGGUUCCUCUGUGUCUUUUCACAGCUGGAGAGCUCCUCCCUUUUUAGCGCUGAAUAACAUUCCCUCGUCUGGAUGUCCCAUGGUUUAUCCAUUCACCCACCGAAGGACGUCUGGGUUGCUUCCAAGUCUGUGGGAUUAUGAAUAAAGCUGCCAUGAGCA
Prionailurus viverrinus (fishing cat) is the source of this 1485-nucleotide long non-coding RNA. RefSeq lists it as uncharacterized. The transcript is spliced from 3 exons. NCBI's taxonomy places the organism in Eukaryota, Metazoa, Chordata, Mammalia, Carnivora, Felidae. The record is from RefSeq and is a predicted model, not a curated record.